UACGGAGGGGGCUAGCGUUGUUCGGAAUUACUGGGCGUAAAGCGCACGUAGGCGGCUUUGUAAGUUAGAGGUGAAAGCCCGGGGCUCAACUCCGGAAUUGCCUUUAAGACUGCAUCGCUAGAAUUGUGGAGAGGUAAGUGGAAUUCCGAGUGUAGAGGUGAAAUUCGUAGAUAUUCGGAAGAACACCAGUGGCGAAGGUGACUUACUGGACACAUAUUGACGCUGAGGUGCGAAAGCGUGGGGAGCAAACAGG
RNAcentral lists this ribosomal RNA (253 nucleotides) under uncultured bacterium. Its description in RNAcentral is "partial 16S ribosomal RNA". It matches the Rfam family "Bacterial small subunit ribosomal RNA", at positions 524 to 776 of the family's 1533-position model. The record is from RNAcentral.